GACGAACGCUGGCGGCGUGCUUAACACAUGCAAGUCGAACGGAAAGGCCCUGCUUGCAGGGUCCUCGAGUGGCGAACGGGUGAGUAACACGUGGGUGAUCUGCCCUGCACUUCGGGAUAAGCCUGGGAAUCUGGGUCUAAUACCGGAUAGGAGCCAUUUUUAGUGUGAUGGUUGGAAAGUUUUUUCGGUGUAGGAUGAGCUCGCGGCCUAUCAGCUUGUUGGUGGGGUAAUGGCCUACCAAGGCGGCGACGGGUAGCCGGCCUGAGAGGGUGGACGGCCACAUUGGGACUGAGAUACGGCCCAGACUCCUACGGGAGGCAGCAGUGGGGAAUAUUGCACAAUGGGCGCAAGCCUGAUGCAGCGACGCCGCGUGGGGGAUGACGGCCUUCGGGUUGUAAACUCCUUUCGCUAGGGACGAAGCUUUUUGUGACGGUACCUAGAUAAGAAGCACCGGCUAACUACGUG
Molecule: ribosomal RNA, 465 nt
Filed under: uncultured bacterium
Lineage: Bacteria
Description: partial 16S ribosomal RNA
Rfam family: Bacterial small subunit ribosomal RNA
Source: RNAcentral